ACAUCUGUAUAGAUUCUCAUUCCUCUGUGGUUACCUACAGCGAAAGGUUAAACAAAAAACAUGGAUAAAGACGCUACAGAUAAUAGAAGCAAUCAGCUAAACCCAAACCAUCCAUCCUAUCAAGCUGGGACGAUUACUCAUGGCUACAAUUCUGAGCAAUAUUACAAGGAUAAUAGAUCCGACCAGCUGAAUCCAAACAACGAACAAUAUCACAAGUCAAGGACUGACAAUUCCAACAACUCUACCAAGAAAUAAUGAGCGAACUAAAGAAAAACAUGUAAACAAACACAUAAUAACUGAAUAAAAAAUUCUUCCGUAAAGAAUCUUUACUAAAAACAAUACACCCUGUAUACAAAUUGCCUUAGCUCCCAGUAUCGAUUAACGCAUCCCCACUCUUGCAGCAAACUACAGCGGCUACCACUAGAUGGCACACCGAGCAAUAAUUUCACAUAAUUUCAGUAUUGAGUCAUCAAGAGCAUGAUAUUUAUCAACAAACAUAUGACAUCAUUUAAAAUAACCUAAAUAGAAAUCAUAUUAAAAAGUAGUCGGAGUUAAAUGCGUCUCUUUUUCUAUUUUAAAAGCCCUAAGUUAUUUUCGCGCUGCAUCCGGUGAAGUCCCCGAUUUUCUCUGUGUGUGUAUUUACAAGAGUAUAAAGUCGUGUUAGACGCAAACUCCCAACAGUCGCAACCCAGGCAGCUAACAAAAAUGGACAAGGCUGGUGCAGACAAUCGAGCCAAUCAACUCAACCCAAAUCACCCUUCUUAUAUGGGAGGAACUGUAACCCAUGGGUACAAUGACCAAAAAUGCUACCGUGACAAUAGAGCCAAUCAGUUAAACCCAAACAAUCCAGCUUAUUGGAAGUCUCGAUCUGGACAAGAAGCUGCCAGUGAGGGUUGGGGCUGCAACAUCGUUUAGUGUUAAGAUGUGGUGUUUAUGAGAGUAAGAAUUUUAUGUAGGUAAAAAUUGAAUAAAAAGUAGUUGGAUGAAA
Long non-coding RNA from Zophobas morio, 988 nucleotides. RefSeq lists it as uncharacterized. The transcript has 3 exons. The record is from RefSeq and is a predicted model, not a curated record. NCBI's taxonomy places the organism in Eukaryota, Metazoa, Arthropoda, Insecta, Coleoptera, Tenebrionidae.